Molecule: long non-coding RNA, 348 nt
Organism: Caenorhabditis elegans
Lineage: Eukaryota; Metazoa; Nematoda; Chromadorea; Rhabditida; Rhabditidae
Gene: linc-42
Product: ncRNA
Source: Ensembl
UAAAUGUUCUGUUGAAAAUAUUUUCAUUCAUUUGUCUUUUGAGGGUUGCUGUGUGCAGCCCGAAUUAUUAUUUUCUCAAAUUUAUUGAUUUUUCUGAAUAUUUUAAAAAUUCAAAAAUUGGGCGGGAAACAAAGUUCCUCAUGCACGAUCACGAUUCCAAUGAUGUUGUGAAAACCUCGUGAUGCCUAAGAUUACCAAAAACAUUGUAGAAGCUGGGAAUGCUCGUAUCGUUGCCGGAGCAUCCCAGAGCACAUCUCGGAACAGAAAUGUGAAUGGCCAAACAUUGCAAAUUUCUUAUUUAAUACCAAUUGUAUUAUUUCUUCCUUACAAUAAACUUUCUGAAUUUCU